GAAAAAAUAAAGCCACAAUUCCAAUUUAUACCCAUUAUUCCUUGAAUACACCACACAGUACGUGCCUCAUAAUUCAAGCUUAGACAGGAGCAUCUUUCGUCAGUGACAGAAUGGCUUUGACAGAGUAUCAUACUACACUGGGCCUUCUUUGGGACAAAGUGCUCCAUUUCUUCAAUAGUUUCUGUAUAUUGAGCACUCAGUAGGCAUUCCAGUAAUAUGUUAAGUUACUGAGCAUAUGUUCCAAAAAUAUUACUGAAGCUCACUGAACUUAAAUGUGUAAUUAAAGCACGUAUUCUACCACUGAGAUCUAAUAAAAAUAUUUAAACAAAAGAAAAGGUCCCUAAUGAGAGAUUACAUACUAGGAAAUAGGAGUCAAUUUUGAAAAAAAUAAACCAGUAUACACUGCUUAGACAUUUGGAGUUAAUUUAAGUACAUGUACAAGCAUCAAUUUCAUGUUCAAAACCCAGAUGCAAUCUCAUGGAAGAAAGAAGGCUAAUAAAAUAUUACUGUUGAUGUGUUGCAGCCCCUAUACACACAUAAUCAUCUAGGAAUAGAAUAAAUGAGAUAGAUGAAAGUCUUAAGGAAAAUUAUCCUCAUGACUAUUAAAAGGAGUGUUAGACUAAUGGGUAACACUAGGCAUCAUAAAGAUACAGUCUGUAAUAACUUCCCAAAUAUUAUUCACCAAAAAAUAAAGGCAAUGUAUUUAAAUUUUGAAAAUUAUUCCUGUUCUAAUUUUCACUACAACAUAACAAAAUAAUUACCUCUUUAAAAUUACAAUAACCCUUAAAAAUCUGCCAAUUCAACAAGCAGAAUAGGAGGACAAGCAUUUGUCCUUGGCUGGUGAAAAGUCUACCAAUAGAAUAAAACUGGAGGGUAAAGCGUCAAAGAAGAGAGCAAAUAUGACAUACAUGAACACAUCUUCUCCAUCUUUCUCUUUUUUCUUCCUCUCCCAAAACACUGCCUCUUCCCAUUUACUAAAGAUGACCUAGGUUACAGUUCUACUUCCAGUCACAGGAGGACACCAAGCCAGCAUGAAGGCAUGUCAUUGAGGGUAGAAACUAACCUAACACAUGUUCGGCAUCCAGCUCUCUCUGAAUCUUUAUGAACCUCUGACUUUGUUUGUCCAGUCCGUUUAAGCUUUGCCUUAUCAUUAAUAUGUUUCCCAGGAUCUCAACUCACAGCCCGCACACCAGUUUACCAAUCUUGUCUCCUCUGCUCAGACACAGCAUUCAUGAGAUCUGUCCAUCUUUGGUCCACUGUUCCAGCAUCAGGACUCAGUCUCUCUCGACAUAUAUUUUGAAAGGCAACUUAAUGAUGCAGUUACCCAGCUACCCGUUCAGUUAUACUCUACUACAUACUACAAAUAUUGCUCACUGCUGACCCGAGUAAGGCAGAUGAUUCAAAGGCACACCUUAAUUUAAGAUUUCAUUUGCUGCCUUAGUUGUUUUCCCACAAAUAAUCAUUAAUUUCCAAGUAGUCUAUCAUGUCUUAUUUCUGAAGUGGUAAAUACCACUCAAAAUAGAUAUAGGGGUACAUACACAUGUAUGUAUACAUACACAUAUGGAAACACUAUGAAAUGGUUGACAUAGAGCUUACUGAGUUUUCUCGCAUCAAAAUUAUUGUGCUUCCAUUCUCUAAGGCCUAGAAUUCUGAGAUCUUGUAUGGCUAUCAUUGCAUCUCUUAGGGUGGGCCUACAGUUGUUUUCAGAGGCAGAUAGGUAGACAGACAUAAAAAAAAAAAAAAAAAAAAA
RNAcentral lists this long non-coding RNA (1750 nucleotides) under Sus scrofa (pig). RNAcentral describes it as "lncRNA (ENSSSCG00015050895.1)". The record is from RNAcentral. Lineage: Eukaryota; Metazoa; Chordata; Mammalia; Artiodactyla; Suidae.